UAGCGGAACUCCUACGGGAGGCAGCAGUGAGGAAUAUUGGUCAAUGGGCGAGAGCCUGAACCAGCCAAGUAGCGUGAAGGAUGACUGCCCUAUGGGUUGUAAACUUCUUUUAUAAAGGAAUAAAGUCGGGUAUGGAUACCCGUUUGCAUGUACUUUAUGAAUAAGGAUCGGCUAACUCCGUGCCAGCAGCCGCGGUAAUACGGAGGAUCCGAGCGUUAUCCGGAUUUAUUGGGUUUAAAGGGAGCGUAGAUGGAUGUUUAAGUCAGUUGUGAAAGUUUGCGGCUCAACCGUAAAAUUGCAGUUGAUACUGGAUAUCUUGAGUGCAGUUGAGGCAGGCGGAAUUCGUGGUGUAGCGGUGAAAUGCUUAGAUAUCACGAAGAACUCCGAUUGCGAAGGCAGCCUGCUAAGCUGCAACUGACAUUGAGGCUCGAAAGUGUGGGUAUCAAACAGGAUUAGAAACCCUAGUAGUCCACUUAUG
This 478-nucleotide ribosomal RNA is filed under the name uncultured bacterium. RNAcentral's name for it is "bacterial SSU rRNA". It matches the Rfam family "Bacterial small subunit ribosomal RNA", at positions 328 to 803 of the family's 1533-position model. The record is from RNAcentral.